RNAcentral lists this ribosomal RNA (764 nucleotides) under uncultured forest soil bacterium. Its description in RNAcentral is "bacterial SSU rRNA". It matches the Rfam family "Bacterial small subunit ribosomal RNA", at positions 28 to 837 of the family's 1533-position model. The record is from RNAcentral.
AACGAACGCUGGCGGCAGGCUUAACACAUGCAAGUCGAACGCUCACCUUCGGGUGGGAGUGGCAGACGGGUGAGUAACGCGUGGGAACGUACCCUUUGGUUCGGAAUAACCCAGGGAAACUUGGGGUAAUACCGGAUACGCCCUUCGGGGGAAAGGUUUACUGCCGAAGGAUCGGCCCGCGUCGGAUUAGCUAGUUGGUGGGGUAAAAGCCUACCAAGGCGACGAUCCGUAGCUGGUCUGAGAGGAUGAUCAGCCACACUGGGACUGAGACACGGCCCAGACUCCUACGGGAGGCAGCAGUGGGGAAUAUUGGACAAUGGGCGCAAGCCUGAUCCAGCCAUGCCGCGUGAGUGAAGAAGGCCUUAGGGUUGUAAAGCUCUUUCAGCGGGGAAGAUAAUGACGGUACCCGCAGAAGUAGCCCCGGCUAACUUCGUGCCAGCAGCCGCGGUAAUACGAAGGGGGCUAGCGUUGUCCGGAAUUACUGGGCGUAAAGCGCGCGUAGGCGGGUGAUUAAGUCAGGGGUGAAAUGCCGAGGCUCAACCUCGGAACUGCCUUUGAUACUGGUCGCCUGGAGUUCGGGAGAGGUAAGUGGAAUUCCGAGUGUAGAGGUGAAAUUCGUAGAUAUUCGGAGGAACACCAGAAGCGAAGGCGGCUUACUGGCCCGAUACUGACGCUGAGGCGCGAAAGCGUGGGGAGCAAGCAGGAUUAGAUACCCUGGUAGUCCACGCCGUAACGAUGAAUGCCAGCCGUCCGGGAAGCAUGCU